Long non-coding RNA from Oreochromis niloticus (Nile tilapia), 613 nucleotides. RefSeq lists it as uncharacterized. The transcript has 4 exons. Lineage: Eukaryota; Metazoa; Chordata; Actinopteri; Cichliformes; Cichlidae. The record is from RefSeq and is a predicted model, not a curated record.
CCACAUCUCUAUUUAUAACACACACUCCAAACACUGGGUCUCUCAGUUUCUGUCUGCAGGCCAUGGUCUGCUAAGUUCUGCAGCCUAAAUAAAAAGAUAUCUUGUAAUUUAUUGAAUUAGUCUUCGGGAAUAGUCUGCCAAGAUGAUUCCACAAUGCCUCAGCAAUGUUGAGGUCUGCACUCUAUGGUACUAUGGAGGCCAACUGCAUGUUCUUCUAUCCAGAUCUCCAACACCACUGGCCGAAGCCCAAACCAUGACAGAGCCUCCACCUUGUUUUAUAGAUGCCUGUACACACCGACUAUUGUACAGCUCCCCUUGUUUCCUACUUACACAUUGCCACCGAUUUUGAGCCCAGUUUUUGUGUGAUUUGGCGUAUCUCAGCAUUUCCCCCUGUUUUCCUUCCUUAUGAAGCACAGCCACCCUUCCACUGAGACCUGGUAGAAGAGUGACUGACAUUUCACUGUUCCAGAAACAUUUCACUGAUGUUUCAGGCCUCAUGAUUUUCUUCAAUUUCCUCACUUUUGUUCAGGACACAGUGCACACCAUGCCAAAACCAUCAAGUUUGUGGCUAGUGGGAAUCAUCUUGUUGGUGCAAAAAAUACAGUUUUAUCCC